RNAcentral lists this ribosomal RNA (510 nucleotides) under Dolichopus diadema. RNAcentral describes it as "partial 16S ribosomal RNA". It matches the Rfam family "Bacterial large subunit ribosomal RNA", at positions 1829 to 2597 of the family's 2925-position model. Lineage: Eukaryota; Metazoa; Arthropoda; Insecta; Diptera; Dolichopodidae. The record is from RNAcentral.
GUCUUUUUGAGUUUAAUUUAAAGUCUAAUCUGCCCACUGAUAAAUAUUUAAGGGCCGCAGUAUUCUGACUGUGCAAAGGUAGCAUAAUCAUUAGUCUUUUAAUUGAGGGCUUGUAUGAAUGAUUGGACGAGAUAUAAGCUGUCUCAUAAAAAUUUAAGUAGAAUUUUAUUUUUUAGUUAAAAAGCUAAAAUAAUUUUAAAAGACGAGAAGACCCUAUAGAUCUUUAUAUUUUGUUCAUAAAUUUUUUUAGGUUAUUUUUUGAAUUUAUGAAUUAAAAUAUUUUGUUGGGGUGACAAUGAAAUUUAAUAAACUUUCAUUAUUUUAUAACAUUAAUUUAUGAAUAGUUGAUCCAUUUUUAGUGAUUAAAAAUUUAAGUUACCUUAGGGAUAACAGCGUAAUUAUUUUGGAGAGUUCUUAUCGAUAAAAUAGUUUGCGACCUCGAUGUUGGAUUAAGAUUAAUUCUGGGUGUAGCAGUUCAGUAUAUUAAGUCUGUUCGACUUUUAAUUUCUU